RNAcentral lists this ribosomal RNA (253 nucleotides) under uncultured bacterium. RNAcentral's name for it is "partial 16S ribosomal RNA". It matches the Rfam family "Bacterial small subunit ribosomal RNA", at positions 524 to 776 of the family's 1533-position model. The record is from RNAcentral.
UACGGAGGUGGCGAGCGUUAAUCGGAAUUACUGGGCGUAAAGGGUGCGUAGGUGGUUGAUUAAGUUAUCUGUGAAAUUCCUGGGCUUAACCUGGGACGGUCAGAUAAUACUGGUUGACUCGAGUAUGGGAGAGGGUAGUGGAAUUUCCGGUGUAGCGGUGAAAUGCGUAGAGAUCGGAAGGAACACCAGUGGCGAAGGCGGCUACCUGGCCUAAUACUGACACUGAGGCACGAAAGCGUGGAGAGCAAACAGG